This 406-nucleotide ribosomal RNA is filed under the name uncultured bacterium. RNAcentral's name for it is "bacterial SSU rRNA". It matches the Rfam family "Bacterial small subunit ribosomal RNA", at positions 355 to 776 of the family's 1533-position model. The record is from RNAcentral.
UGGGGAAUAUUGGGCAAUGGGCGCAAGCCUGACCCAGCAACGCCGCGUGAAGGAAGAAGGCUUUCGGGUUGUAAACUUCUUUUACCAGGGACGAAGACGUGACGGUACCUGGAGAAUAAGCCACGGCUAACUACGUGCCAGCAGCCGCGGUAAUACGUAGGUGGCAAGCGUUGUCCGGAUUUACUGGGUGUAAAGGGCGCGUAGGCGGGAUAGCAAGUCAGGAGUGAAAUCCAUGGGCUUAACCCAUGAACUGCUUUUGAAACUGUUAUUCUUGAGUAUCGGAGAGGCAGGCGGAAUUCCUAGUGUAGCGGUGAAAUGCGUAGAUAUUAGGAGGAACACCAGUGGCGAAGGCGGCCUGCUGGACGACAACUGACGCUGAGGCGCGAAAGCGUGGGGAGCAAACAGG